This is a long non-coding RNA of Fukomys damarensis (Damara mole-rat), 4706 nucleotides long. NCBI's taxonomy places the organism in Eukaryota, Metazoa, Chordata, Mammalia, Rodentia, Bathyergidae. The record is from Ensembl.
CCGAGGGCCCGACCAUGCCCUGUGCUAGCAGUGCACUACCUCACAAUCCGAAGUGUGUGCAUGGGCUUCUGAGAUCACUGCACUGAAACGUAAGUGACAUGAACAGAGAGCCGGAAUGUUGCCAGAAUCUCCAAGGUCCUUCCUUGCUACUGAUUCUCAAGGUUACUCCCCACUGUGCUUGCAUAAGUCUCCUGGGGUAGGCGUGGGACCCUGUCUGUACACAGAUUAGGCAAUGGGGAGUCGGGAGGGGCCCGGACCAGCUCAUGACCAAGAGACUUGCAAGACCUCUCACCAGAAGGGUCACCCGGACACCCCAACAUCCACAGGGUGGAUCCUCUACCCAGGAGAGGCUCCUUGGAGCCCGAUGGAAAUAACACCCCGUGCAGGAGCUGAGUGCACAGCAAGAAGUACCAAGUUCUCUGUGUGUCACAUGCCAGAAGCACAGGUCUCUCAGCACCACCUGGGAGAGGUGGGAAAUUCUCACCUGUGGCUGGGCCAGGGAGCCUGCAUCAGGGCCUGCUUCUGCUGACUUGAGGGACUGGGCCUAGGCCUCAUGGAGGUUGCUGGCUUGGGAUCUGGGGUGCCUGUUCCAGACCAGGCCAAGUCUGUCUCACGGUAGGGAGUGGUGCACACAGGCACUUGUGGGAGAAAAUACAGAGCAUGUGAUUGAGCUGACUCUUACUUCCCAUGAGACCUGAGACCGGUGCAGAAUCCAAGAGAGCAGCGGGAGACAGGAGGAUUAUUAGGUGCACCUUGACUGUUGGACUCCUGUCCAAAGCCUGAGUAUGGAACAAAAAAGUUCUAGUUUCUAUGCAUUUGAUGAAGAGGGGUCUUUUUAGUGAUGUUAAGUAAGCUUAUAGAAACAGGACAAAGGCAGUCAAUUUUGUAAUUUUUCCUUAAAAGCAGACAGAACCUUAUGACUCAUAUGUGCACAGGGUGACAUAAACUUGGUUUGUGAGACCUCGUUAUCCAUUUCAUCUGUACUAGAAGAACGGCAGCUAUGGGGCAGGUGAUCUAAGGAUGGGUUAACUGCCAAAGUCUGAGAAGAACUUGCUUUUCUUUAGUCCUGCUUCAAAACAGGACCCAAACAAGUGAGGAAUGCAGCGCUGGUUCGUGUCUUACAGCACUGGGGCGGCACAGGUGGUGAUUUGUCCCCAGUGAUGAGGCCGAGCUGACUGCUGUGGGAGAAGGAGGGAGUGGCAGGAGCUUUGGGGAAUUUGAUAUGGGUUAGGGCUCAGGAACUGGGGUGGACUCCAGGAAAAAUGAGAGGACAAAAUUCUGCAAAAAAGAGCCAAAACUGUGCUCUUCGUGAAUUUAAGUGAGUUUCUCUAAGAAGCCCACGCACACAUGACGUGAGUGAGCACUCGACUCACACGGGGCACUGACAAGCUCAGCCAUUUUUAAAGGACCAGAAGUUCCAGAAGUUACACCCACUAAAUGUUGAUUUGGCCAGAAAAAAGUGGAAGGAAGACUGGAUUUGUCUUCUCCCAGGUGCUGAGGAUGUGAGAUGAGGUUUGUCGCUCACACAGGACAGAAGCAACCCUGAAGAGAAGGCCUCGGGCUCUGUGCGGCUCAGAGGAAGCAAGUGGGACACAGACAGGGGCUCUCACCGUGUGGCGGCUCUGACCCGGCACCAGGGAGUGGGCGGCUGCCUGAGGGCUGGGAUUCCAGGAUUUAAACUUCCUUCCGCCGCCCACAGAAGGUGGAGCCCAGCUGUGGGCUGCACAAGCGUUGGAACUGAACAUCUAAAAUCCAUGUGUCCAUUUAGAAAGUAUUAAAGCUGUGAGAAAGGAAUGCAUAGAGUCCAACUCAUAACAAGGUGGCAGACUCAUUCACGGAGAACGAGGCGUGGAAUCCCCACCGGGUCCUCCCUCCCACUGCGUAGUAGCCUUUCUCUGUGACACAUGGUUGUAGUUGGGGACGUGAAGCACAGCCAGACAGCAGGAGUGUAGUUUUGCCAAGGAGUAGAGGGCUGAAGCUCUCACAGGCAAGCAGCAGCCACCUCUCACCAAUCUCGGUUUUAUUAGAUGCCUGCACAGUACUUCCAUGAGAGUAAAGUGAGUUCCUUACAGAUUGCCUCUAGCAAAGCAUUAGAAAACAUUUUUUACGAACAGCUAUUAUUCUAGUUAUUCCUAUACUUUCUCAACACAGACCGUUCCCAGACUGUUAUCGGAUGGCUCUCAGGACUGUUUCCGGCCUUGAACUUCUGAGUUGUGGCUCCGUGUGCAGAACCACAACUGCAGUUCCUGUUCCAGUCCGCGUCCCCGUGUAACCUUCUCCUCUACAACGCACCAGGAGAAGUUGCUGUUAUUACACCAUAAGGUGGUUCACACAUAAACCCAAGAGAAGUUAAUUCCCAGUAACUGACAGGGUUCUGUGCCGUGUACACUGAUUUCUAAUCUCCCGUUUUACCGUUUAAGGUUCUCAUCUCCUGCUCACUCACUGUAUCAGCCUAGUGAAUGAACCAGGCGUGAUUUGGAGCACACUGCUCUCCCAGAGGUGCCUGGGUGGGAGAGGCCAGGGGAGCAGAGAAAAAGGCUGAGCGGGUCUGAGGGGGCAUCGCAGCCUAAUCACUGUUUUUUGGUUUUGGUUUUUUUAAAGGAGGAAGCUAUUUAUUGAUAGGAAACCUAGGGAGGGGCAGGAGGUGUCCCGAGUGGGCAGCCCAAGGACCCCACUUUACAGAGGAGUUUUAUAGGGUGAAACCCACGUGGGUACCAUGUGGGCCACCGCCAUGAACAUCCAACGAGGUUACAAAUGCAGCCACUCGGGUAAUGUUGGGCCACCUGGGAAGCAAGUGUGGAUGGAAAGAACACGGAUGCUCCCAGGAGGCGGUGGGUCCCCAGGUCGCUGGUCCCUGGCAGGGUGGCCUUGUCACUGUCUUUGAUGAAGGCCCUGCUUUCAGGAGUCCUGGUCCCCCUUCCACUGCGGGGGCCGUAGCUUCUCAGGUGGAGCAGGCACAGCUGUGUGCAGGACACCGGGUGCCUUUUGCUGCCAUCUGCCCUCUCUCCCUCCCCGAAGAGAGGCUCAGCCUGAACAUCCCAGCUCCCUAACUGCUGCUGCACUGCUGGGGUGACCUCCUGAGUGUCUGGGAUUUGCGGGCCAAGGACGGGAAGGGCAUUUCUGGGUGGCCAACGAGUUCAAUGUGUCGUAUGUGUUUUGGAUUUGUUCAGUCCCGCUGUGUGCAAAAACCAGGAGAAGUCGUAUCUGCCCUGCCGCUGGGGGAGCUGAUGCAGUGAGGAUGCUUUUGUUCCAGAAGGUGGCACCCAGCCCGCGUGGAUUAUCGAACAAUCUGCAGCUGCAGAUCAGAAAGUGGAACAUUGCAAUUUUCUCUUUUCUGGCUGCUGUCCAGCAGCUGAGCCUCCGCCUGAUUCGAGUGACUUUCAAGUUUCCUGCGAAACCUGAUGUACAGAGGAUGGGGCAACACUGACGUGUGGCCCCUUGAGGGAACCAUCAGCAAGCUUUGUCCUGCUCCGGUCUGGGAACAGGGAUGCGAACAGAAGAGUGAUGACAACUAAAUAGAACACAUGAAACCUCUAACAGGGGAUUGGAUGUCGGACACCGGGUAAUAAUACUGAGGUACUAGACGGAGGUAUCUGACUCUGCGGAGUACUGGUGCAGAGCAGAGGAGUGAGAACAGGACCGGAAGUCAGAACCGCAGGGGCAGCGGAACCUCACUCGGUCUCUCUGAGAGCUGCCUUCCCAGGGGUGGUGUCAUCGGGAAUUCCACAUCCUGUCCCCUGCAAACUGCAAGUGUCCUCACCUGGCCCCUCUCCCCAGGGUCACAGGCCUUGGCACCUGUUAGGGUGAGCACGAAGAUUGGCAGUGCCCUGCUGUACACCGCACUGCUAACCCUGGGCCCAGAGCUGCGUAGUCCCUGGCUCUGAGGAGGGGCCGGGGCACCAAGUGACGGGGACAUUUGGAGGAACUAGGUGAGGAGGUGAUUGCUGGGGUGAGUGAGGAUGUUUGCUGCACUGAAGAAGAUGGAGCUGGCUGUGGUGGAGCAUGCUUUGCCUUGCUGCAAGUUCAAGGUCACCCUGAGCUACGUACUGAACUCAAGGCCAGCCUGGACUGCACAGUGAGACCCUGUCGCAAAAGUUUAACUAACUAACUAACUAGGUAACUAACUAAAACAUGAAGAGCCAAGUCACACGAGCCAAGUCAAUGACCACAGACACUGCCAGCGGGCUCUGGUGUGAUUUAUCACCAUGGAGACAUUGAAACUCUGGUGCCGGAUGGUGUAAUACAGCACUUAGACUUCCUGGCCAGUUGUCAGAUGCCAGGAGUUUGGGCUUUGCUGACAGCAAACCAGACUGGGAAGAGCAAAAAUCAUUUUCAUCAGUAAGCCUGCAUGGGCUAGAUGUUUGGUGGAAACAGCUAUACUCUCUCUCACAGGGACAACAUCUCUAAUUCUAUGGGCUCCUGAGUUUGGAGAAACACAGCGGCUCUGGUCCAUGAACGCACUAACACUGACGGCCCUAACAUCCUCCUCACUUCUGUCAAGGCGUCUGCGUGAGGCCCCUCCCUCAUCCCAUGACCACAGGGCCCAACCCAGCCCGGCCCUGCAGAAACUCACGCUGCUCACAGUAUCAGGGAGUUUCCAGAGAGCAGAGGGAGCGCCUGUGCCUCAGCAUUCCCUCACGUGGAGGUUACUCAUUAACGGCAGUGACCCUGGGAAAAUAGAAGUUGCAUAACUGUGAGGAUCCUGC